Long non-coding RNA from Callorhinchus milii (elephant shark), 943 nucleotides. RefSeq lists it as uncharacterized. The transcript has 2 exons. NCBI's taxonomy places the organism in Eukaryota, Metazoa, Chordata, Chondrichthyes, Chimaeriformes, Callorhinchidae. The record is from RefSeq and is a predicted model, not a curated record.
GUUAUUCCCUUUUGUGUUUGGUGUGAACGACAUGCACACUGCGAGCACUAACACUGCUCUUGUGUUUGCAGAUUGUGGCACACGGGUAUUCACUGGAGGACCUCCUGAGCAGUGCCACGAGAGAUGACCUGACGUACACUCAGAUCAGAGGUGGAAUGCUUCUCAAGCUGUGGGCAGCUAUCAGUGCUCACCGAAGUGGGCACUGAGCAGUGAGUUACCUGCAGUGUUCUGAUCCCUAUCUCUGGAUGGCAGCAUCCAGGACAAACUCUUCAUGGCAACACAGGCCUCAUAGAGCGGCAGCUGGAUGUGAUGGCGGUGCCCACAGGCAAUAUGUGGGCAAAAGGGCAAAAGAUCUGGAGCUGCUCCUACCCCUGGGGCCGCUCCGACCCCUGGAGUCAUUCCAAUCUGCUUUGUGCCAAGCGAUGCUGUUCCGUUGAGGGCAGAAGAGCAGAGGAGUGCCUGUGGAUUCGAUGCUGACAUGUACACACGCGGAGAAUGAGAACUUUAAAGGUGGCAGAAUUUUGGGGUGGGUGACCCAUCCUCGCUCAGUGCUGUGUACCAGAUACAACAACAAUAACAACUUGCACUUAUAUAACGCCCCUCAGGCAGGGCAGCGUCCCCAGACACGCUGUGCUUCCCAAUUGUCCACACACCCUCAACCUCUCCUGUUUUUUUUCCUAUAGUUCACGUCGUUGGACGAGGAUUGAAUGCUGCGCUGUGUUGCUAAUGAUGACAGGCACUUUAUACUUUUAAGUUUCAAGAGAAUCAUUCCGAGGUUUCAGUGGAUUUUGCCGCUGUUUUACCAAAGAAACUGACAAGGUCAAAAUUCUCUCCCGUGUGCUGAACAUUGGAGAGAAACAUGUAGCAAUCUAUUUUAUUGUUUGCAUUCAUUUGCAGGAUGAUAUGUGACAUAAUACAGGAUAUGAAAAUAUUUGAUCACAAA